CAGCGCCACGAGUGGCAAUCAUGUUUAUUGGGCCUAAAGCGUCCGUAGCUGGUUUGAUAAAUCCUUUGUGAAAUUGUUGUGCCUAACAUAACGAAUGGCAGGGGACACUAUCGAACUUGGAACCGGUGAGGGGUCAGAGGUAUGCUUGGGGGAGCGGUAAAAUGCUGUAAUCCCUAGUAGACCACCUGUGGCGAAGGCGUCUGACUAGAACGGGUUCGACAGUGAGGGACGAAAGCCAGGGGAGCGAUCCGGAUUAGAUACCCGAGUAGUCC
This 272-nucleotide ribosomal RNA is filed under the name uncultured archaeon. RNAcentral's name for it is "partial 16S ribosomal RNA". It matches the Rfam family "Archaeal small subunit ribosomal RNA", at positions 477 to 747 of the family's 1478-position model. The record is from RNAcentral.